This 609-nucleotide ribosomal RNA is filed under the name cf. Ascomycota sp. F020. Its description in RNAcentral is "eukaryotic LSU rRNA". The stretch from base 234 to 387 matches the Rfam family "5.8S ribosomal RNA". Lineage: Eukaryota; Fungi; Ascomycota. RNAcentral also lists the same sequence under 2 other names. The record is from RNAcentral.
CUUGGUCAUUUAGAGGAAGUAAAAGUCGUAACAAGGUCUCCGUAGGUGAACCUGCGGAGGGAUCAUUACACAAAUAUGAAGGCGGGCUGGAACCUCUCGGGGUUACAGCCUUGCUGAAUUAUUCACCCUUGUCUUUUGCGUACUUCUUGUUUCCUUGGUGGGUUCGCCCACCACUAGGACAAACAUAAACCUUUUGUAAUUGCAAUCAGCGUCAGUAACAAAUUAAUAAUUACAACUUUCAACAACGGAUCUCUUGGUUCUGGCAUCGAUGAAGAACGCAGCGAAAUGCGAUAAGUAGUGUGAAUUGCAGAAUUCAGUGAAUCAUCGAAUCUUUGAACGCACAUUGCGCCCUUUGGUAUUCCAAAGGGCAUGCCUGUUCGAGCGUCAUUUGUACCCUCAAGCUUUGCUUGGUGUUGGGCGUCUUGUCUCUAGCUUUGCUGGAGACUCGCCUUAAAGUAAUUGGCAGCCGGCCUACUGGUUUCGGAGCGCAGCACAAGUCGCACUCUCUAUCAGCAAAGGUCUAGCAUCCAUUAAGCCUUUUUUUCAACUUUUGACCUCGGAUCAGGUAGGGAUACCCGCUGAACUUAAGCAUAUCAAUAAGCGGAGGAA